GUCUUUUUGAUUAUAAUUUAAAGUCUAACCUGCCCACUGAAUAUUUUGAAGGGCCGCGGUAUUUUGACUGUGCGAAGGUAGCAUAAUCAUUAGUCUUUUAAUUGGAGGCUUGUAUGAAUGGUUGGAUGAGGUAUUAACUGUCUCAAUUUAAUAAAUAAUAGAAUUUUAUUUUUAAGUUAAAAAGCUUAAAUUUUAUUAAAAGACGAGAAGACCCUAUAGAUCUUUAUAAUUAAUUUUAUAAUAAUUUUUUAGAUUAAAUUUAUUUUUAUAAGAUAAAUUAUUAUAUUGGGGUGAUAAAAAAAUUUAUAAAACUUUUUUUUAUAUUAAAACAAUGAUAUUUGAUUAAUUGAUCCAUUUUUUGUGAUUAUAAGAUUAAGUUACCUUAGGGAUAACAGCGUAAUUUUUUUGGAGAGUUCAUAUCGAUAAAAAAGAUUGCGACCUCGAUGUUGAAUUAAAGGUUAAUUUUAGGUGUAGAAGUUUAAAAUUUUGGUCUGUUCGACCAUUAAAUC
RNAcentral lists this ribosomal RNA (509 nucleotides) under Parachauliodes continentalis. RNAcentral describes it as "partial large subunit ribosomal RNA". It matches the Rfam family "Bacterial large subunit ribosomal RNA", at positions 1830 to 2594 of the family's 2925-position model. Lineage: Eukaryota; Metazoa; Arthropoda; Insecta; Megaloptera; Corydalidae. The record is from RNAcentral.